This 253-nucleotide ribosomal RNA is filed under the name uncultured bacterium. RNAcentral's name for it is "partial 16S ribosomal RNA". It matches the Rfam family "Bacterial small subunit ribosomal RNA", at positions 524 to 776 of the family's 1533-position model. The record is from RNAcentral.
UACGAAGGGGGCUAGCGUUGCUCGGAAUCACUGGGCGUAAAGUGCGCGUAGGCGGACUUUUAAGUCGGGGGUGAAAGCCCAGGGCUCAACCCUGGAAUUGCCUUCGAUACUGAGAGUCUUGAGUUCGGAAGAGGUUGGUGGAACUGCGAGUGUAGAGGUGAAAUUCGUAGAUAUUCGCAAGAACACCAGUGGCGAAGGCGGCCAGCUGGUCCGAUACUGACGCUGAGGCGCGAAAGCGUGGGGAGCAAACAGG